RNAcentral lists this ribosomal RNA (519 nucleotides) under Dictyostelium mucoroides. RNAcentral describes it as "SSU rRNA". It matches the Rfam family "Eukaryotic small subunit ribosomal RNA", at positions 410 to 894 of the family's 1831-position model. Lineage: Eukaryota; Evosea; Eumycetozoa; Dictyosteliales; Dictyosteliaceae. The record is from RNAcentral.
CCACUUUCUACGGAAGGCAGCAGGCGCGCAAAUUACUCAAUCCCAAUACGGGGAAGUAGUGACAAAAAAUACUAAUGCCUUUCCAUUUAUAUGGGGGGCAAUUGGAAUAAGUACAACUUAAAUCGCUUAGCAAAAGUGAUUGGAGGGCAAGUCUGGUGCCAGCAGCCGCGGUAAUUCCAGCUCCAAUAGCGUAUACUAAAUUUGUUGCAGUUAAAAAGCUCGUAGUUGAGAUUGAGAUUUCUUAGGUUUAGAGUCGCUUGGCCUUCGGGUUUGAGUUUGAUUCGUAAAGCUCUAUAGUAGAAUUCCAUUUUAUUAUUAGGGUUACUAAGAAAUUUCUAUCUGCCCAUGGUAGCUAGCAAUAGUUAUCAAUCGGGUGAUCUACUGUGAGAAAAUUGUAGUGUUCAAAGCAGGCGUCUUACGUUUGUUCAAUGCAGCAUGGUAUAGUAAAAUAUGACACUAAAUAUAUGUUGGUUGUAUAUUCUUAGUGUAAUGACUAAUAGGGAAGGGCGGGGCCGUUCA